This 678-nucleotide long non-coding RNA is filed under the name Olea europaea subsp. europaea. Lineage: Eukaryota; Viridiplantae; Streptophyta; Magnoliopsida; Lamiales; Oleaceae. The record is from RNAcentral.
AAAAAAAAAAAAAAAAAAAAAAAAAAAAAAAAAAAAAAGUAUCGUGAAUUCUAAAUCUUCUGACAUCAUUUACAGGUUUAUUUUAAGUGACUGUUCAGUACCGCACCUCGACGAGCACGGAAUUCCCUAUCUUGGCAUCUCAGGGCUUGGUAGUUCAGAACGUGGAGACAUUCGACGCUGGGACGACUCAAGCCAACGGUACUCAGGGAGUUCCUGAUCCUAUUUAUUAUUAGUUGACACUAUUUCUUUAUCUUAGAAUUGCAUCAAUUAAUUCGUUGUGUGCUGGCCAUUUGAUGAUACUGCCUUAAACCUAUUCGAUUAUAUUUCACGUACUAAACUCCGUUACUCAAUCGUUUACCCUACGUGACUAGACCUAGUAUUUGGACAUUUGCUUUUCUAUUUUAUUAGCAUUAGUAGUAUUUGCUUGCGAUCGGGCCAUAAGUAACCCCAACCUUUAAAUUAACAAAAUAACAAAAAAAAAAAUAAAUAAAUAAAUAAUAAUGAUAAUUUCAAUAACGAAUUUUCGGUUGGCACUAGUUGAUUGUUGAUUAUUGAUCUCAGUAGUGCAUUUUACGUAGUCGUGUUACCGUGUAUGCAAUUGCGUAGUGGUCGCGUUACUGCCUCUAGCUCUAGUAACCUUACCAUGGACCCCGCCCAAAUUGAGGCCCUCACCAGACA